Molecule: non-coding RNA, 1368 nt
Organism: Megalopta genalis
Lineage: Eukaryota; Metazoa; Arthropoda; Insecta; Hymenoptera; Halictidae
Source: RefSeq, a predicted model, not a curated record
UCUCCUCGACCGGUAAUUCGCGAAACGGUAAAACCAUCCCUGUGAUCUGUUCACCGAACGCCGAAAUCGUUUAUUAGAUAGUUUCGAUAGAUUCGGCGAAUAGUUAUUCCGUUAUUAUGAAAUUUGAUCACGCGCAACUGUAUUAUCUGGCGCCGCAACGUAAACAUAAACAUAGCCGCGACGUAACGUAAUACGUAUGUAUAACGUAUAUACAUGUAUGUACAGUCGGCGGUGUUGUUUUAGACGCGGGUCAUUUUGUACACCGUGCUCGUUGGAACAGGACCUGUUCAUUUUGUACGCGAAACGUUCGUUUACACGCACGAAACGUUAUUUCACGAAUCCGGAAAAUGGAAGCGUUACAGAAAACGCCCUCCGAGGAUACGGAGGAAAUGAACGACACAUCAAUAGAGACCUCUGAUUCAGACGCCGGCGAAAGGGCGGACAAUGAAUUAGAAUAUACAACCAGCAGCGAGGACGAUUCGGACAGUGAACAGGGCUCCUACGAAAGUGGAAUAGAGUGCGAUGCUAGCAGUCGGAAGGACGGAAAAUGCAAAUGUCACCAAUGUCUCCUCGAUGCCAUCGACAACGACGAGGAAACCGACGAAGAAUCAGAAUCCAUAGACAUGCGCACUUUGAAACAAAUAAAUACAUGGUCCACUCUCGCAGGAUUACCGCUGCACAAUAUUUUCAGGGUCAUUUACGGCGGCAAAGACGAAGACGUACCAAUGCAUUACUACGAAUGGUGAGGCUGUUCUUCGAACUAUGUAGAAAAUCCUAGCAUAGCAGACAACGAUAGCAACGCAUGGAAUUAAGAAAGCAACGACGAACAGAAACUCCUUGGGGCUUCUACCAUGGACGUCCGGAAGUAUCGAGCAGGAUCCAAUGGCGGUGUCCAAGCCGAAACGGCCCCAGCUUUCGAACCAGGUAACAACGAGGACACCGAACGCUACCAACCAGAUACCAACCACCAUCGGCGCUAUAUAUUUUUGUUUGUACAAUCUGAAAGCAGAAGAGAACGUCGCAGUGUCGUUUUUCAAUCAAUUGCGCGAUCGUCUAAUUUUUUUUCAAACGAAAUUUUUGACGUUUCAACAAAAUAAAUUUAAUUUAUUAGACCUUUUGCCGAUAUGGUAAAAAUCGAUCGUUCAAGUACUCAUGCGUGUACGAAAAUUCUGCUCUAUCUAUUCAACGAUUUUAUCUAGAACGUAAAUAAUACGAUAUUUGACUUUAAAUACGAACAAUAAUUUUCCUUUCCGUUUGAACAAUUGGACGAUUUACGCGACACGAAGGUUUGGUCAACGUUUUAUACAGAUGUGCAAUUAAUGUUAAAAAUAAAUGACCUAUGCAUUAUCGUUACAUACAGGGUGUCCC